AAUGUUUGACGUCGUUGACUUUUUUAAACAUGUUUGACCGUUCGUCUUAUUCAAAAAAUUUAAGUAAUUAUUAAUUUUUUCCUUAUCAUUUGAUUUAUUGUUAAAUAUACUUUUAUGUAUACAUAUAGUUUUACGUAUUUCACAAAAGUUUUUGAAUAAGACGAACGGUCAAACAUGUUUAAAAAAGUCAACGGCGUCAAACAAU
MicroRNA precursor from Oryza rufipogon (brownbeard rice), 205 nucleotides. It matches the Rfam family "MIR812 microRNA precursor family". The record is from Rfam. Lineage: Eukaryota; Viridiplantae; Streptophyta; Magnoliopsida; Poales; Poaceae.